RNAcentral lists this ribosomal RNA (619 nucleotides) under uncultured fungus. Its description in RNAcentral is "eukaryotic LSU rRNA". It matches the Rfam family "Eukaryotic large subunit ribosomal RNA", at positions 24 to 649 of the family's 3401-position model. Lineage: Eukaryota; Fungi. The record is from RNAcentral.
CUUCGCGCUGAAAUUAAGCAUAUCAAUAAGCGGAGGAAAAGAAACUNACAAGGACUCNCCUAGUAACUGCGAGUGAAGCGGGAUCGAGCUCAAAUNUGAUAUCUGGCGGUUACGCCGUCCGAGUCGUAUUCNGGAGAAGCGUUUUCCGUGCUGGCCNGNGUNCAAGUNCCUUGGAACAGGGCGUCAUAGAGGGUGAGAAUCCCGUCUUUGACACGGACUUCCAGUGNUAUGCGAUGCGCUCUCGAAGAGUCGAGUUGUUUGGGAAUGCAGCUCAAUACGGGUGGUACAUUCCAUCUAAAGCUAAAUAUUGGCGAGAGACUGAUAGCGAGCAAGUACCGUGAGGGAAAGAUGAAAAGCACUUUAGAAAGAGAGUAAAACAGUACGUGAAAUUGUUGAAAGGGAAACGCUUGAAGUCAGUCGCGUCUUCUGGAACUCACCCUUGCUUCUGCUCGGUGCACUUUCCAGUUCGCCGGUCCAGCAUCGGUUUCGAGGGGUAGACAAAGGUUCGGGGAAGGUGGCACCUCCGGGUGUGUUAUAGCCCCUUGCUGCAUGUGCCCUUUGGGACCGAGGAAUCCGGCGCCUGGCGCUUGGGAUGCUGGCGUAAUGGCUGUAAACGACC